This 442-nucleotide ribosomal RNA is filed under the name uncultured bacterium. Its description in RNAcentral is "partial 16S ribosomal RNA". It matches the Rfam family "Bacterial small subunit ribosomal RNA", at positions 338 to 795 of the family's 1533-position model. The record is from RNAcentral.
CCUACGGGAGGCAGCAGUGGGGAAUAUUGGGCAAUGGGCGCAAGCCUGACCCAGCAACGCCGCGUGAAGGAAGAAGGCUCUCGGGAUGGUAACCUCCUUUAAGAGGGAAGCGCAGUAGACGGCACCUCUCGAAUAAGCCAUGGCCAACUACGUGUCAGCAGCCGCGGUAAUACGUAGGUGGCAAGCGUUGACCGGACUUACUGGGUGUAAAGGGCGUGUAGCCGGGCUGAUAAGUCAGUUGUGAAAUUCCGGGGCUCAACCCCGGGCCGGCAUUUGAAACUGUUGGUCUUGAGUAUCGGAGAGGCAGGCGGAAUUCCUGGUGUAGCGGUGAAAUGCGUAGAUAUUGGGAGGAACACCAGUGGCGAAGGCGGCCUGCUGGACGACAACUGACGGUGAGGCACGAAAGCGUGGGGAGCGAACAGGAUUAGAUACCCUUGUAGUC